GUCGAGCGGACAGAAGGGAGCUUGCUCCCGGAUGUUAGCGGCGGACGGGUGAGUAACACGUGGGUAACCUGCCUGUAAGACUGGGAUAACUCCGGGAAACCGGAGCUAAUACCGGAUAGUUCCUUGAACCGCAUGGUUCAAGGAUGAAAGACGGUUUCGGCUGUCACUUACAGAUGGACCCGCGGCGCAUUAGCUAGUUGGUGAGGUAACGGCUCACCAAGGCGACGAUGCGUAGCCGACCUGAGAGGGUGAUCGGCCACACUGGGACUGAGACACGGCCCAGACUCCUACGGGAGGCAGCAGUAGGGAAUCUUCCGCAAUGGACGAAAGUCUGACGGAGCAACGCCGCGUGAGUGAUGAAGGUUUUCGGAUCGUAAAGCUCUGUUGUUAGGGAAGAACAAGUGCAAGAGUAACUGCUUGCACCUUGACGGUACCUAACCAGAAAGCCACGGCUAACUACGUGCCAGCAGCCGCGGUAAUACGUAGGUGGCAAGCGUUGUCCGGAAUUAUUGGGCGUAAAGGGCUCGCAGGCGGUUUCUUAAGUCUGAUGUGAAAGCCCCCGGCUCAACCGGGGAGGGUCAUUGGAAACUGGGAAACUUGAGUGCAGAAGAGGAGAGUGGAAUUCCACGUGUAGCGGUGAAAUGCGUAGAGAUGUGGAGGAACACCAGUGGCGAAGGCGACUCUCUGGUCUGUAACUGACGCUGAGGAGCGAAAGCGUGGGGAGCGAACAGGAUUAGAUACCCUGGUAGUCCACGCCGUAAACGAUGAGUGCUAAGUGUAGGGGGUUUCCGCCCCUUAGUGCUGCAGCUAACGCAUUAAGCACUCCGCCUGGGGAGUACGGUCGCAAGACUGAAACUCAAAGGAAUUGACGGGGGGCCCGCACAAGCGGUGGA
RNAcentral lists this ribosomal RNA (893 nucleotides) under Bacillus stratosphericus. RNAcentral describes it as "bacterial SSU rRNA". It matches the Rfam family "Bacterial small subunit ribosomal RNA", at positions 61 to 936 of the family's 1533-position model. Lineage: Bacteria; Bacillati; Bacillota; Bacilli; Caryophanales; Bacillaceae. The record is from RNAcentral.